CUGGAUUGGAUCACCCGUCGUCUCGCUCCUUUCGAAAACCCUAAACGGUCGACGCGGCUACUGUUCUUCUAUCUCCAAAUGGCGUGGCGCGGAUCGAUCUCUGGAUCGCUGCUCGCUGCCGCGCGGUCCUACUCCCCCCGAUCGCCGCAUGCGGUUCGCCGACUCCCCUGUCCGCCCAUCGCGGGCCCCCGCCUCCAGCGCCGCCGCCUCCCCCUCUCCCCUCCCCGAUCUCUGGGAGAAUUAGGGUGCGCGCAGUCCUUCCUUCCACUUUACAGCGUGGUGGCCGCCCCUCGUCUCACCUCCCACCUGUCGGUCAGCGCGAGGUCGUGCUGUGAGCUCUCUCAGGGUACCUUCCGUCGCACUUGUCAAGAUCGCUAGUUAGUCCUCUCGCUGUCAAGGAAAAAUGGAAAAGAUGGUUGAUGCAGAAGAGAUGGCGUCGUUCAGUGGGAAUCGCGGUGUAAGCCGAUGUACCUGAAGGAAUUAGGAUAGCCGCAUGGUUGGUAAACGAAGGAUUCUUGAUAGGGGUUGUAUGAGAACCUGCUCAUGCAUUAACCGAAAGAUUUGGAGAAACUUUUAAUGGUCUCUUUGCUUUUGUCGAUGCAAGAAUAAGUGCCACUUUUGCUUCUGAUGAACAGCUGCUGGGGAAAUUAUGCUUCGCUGGUUUAAGUGGCGCAUGCUUUCUUCAACUGGUGUUACAGUUAUAUGCAGUGUGCACAACCGAACUUGAUGCUGGUUGCUGCCCUUAUUGUUUACUUGCCAGCUGCUAUCCUCCAAACAAUUCCACUGCAAUUCAUGUAACAUAACAUUGUGCUCAUUUUCACUGUCAGUAGCAACCUGCAAAAGUUUACUUUCUAAAGGCCAGCUGAUAUGGAUCCUUUUGCCA
Musa acuminata AAA Group (dessert banana) is the source of this 883-nucleotide RNA transcript. RefSeq lists it as uncharacterized. The record is from RefSeq and is a predicted model, not a curated record. Lineage: Eukaryota; Viridiplantae; Streptophyta; Magnoliopsida; Zingiberales; Musaceae. The transcript is spliced from 4 exons.